AAGGGUAUAGCUCAGUGGUAGAGUGUGUGCUUACCAUGCAUGAGGUCCUGGGUUCAGUCUCCAGUAUCUACA
This 72-nucleotide transfer RNA is filed under the name Camelus bactrianus (Bactrian camel). It matches the Rfam family "tRNA". Rfam says of the family: Transfer RNA (tRNA) molecules are approximately 80 nucleotides in length. Their secondary structure includes four short double-helical elements and three loops (D, anti-codon, and T loops). The record is from Rfam by way of RNAcentral. Lineage: Eukaryota; Metazoa; Chordata; Mammalia; Artiodactyla; Camelidae. RNAcentral also lists the same sequence under 2 other names.